CCUACGGGGCGCAGCAGGCGCGAAAACUUUACAAUGCGGGAAACCGUGAUAGGGGAACUCUGAGUGCCCGUUAAAUCGGGCUGUCCACCAGUUUAAACAACUGGUGAAGAAAGGGCCGGGCAAGACCGGUGCCAGCCGCCGCGGUAAUACCGGCGGCUCGAGUGGUGGCCACUAUUACUGGGCUUAAAGCGUUCGUAGCUGGUUUGUUAAGUCUCUGGGGAAAUCUUCCGGCUUAACCGGAAGGCGUCUCAGGGAUACUGGCAGACUAGGGACCGGGAGAGGUGAGGGGUACUCCAGGGGUAGGAGUGAAAUCCUGUAAUCCUUGGGGGACCACCUGUGGCGAAGGCGCCUCACCAGAACGGCUCCGACAGUGAGGGACGAAAGCUGGGGGAGCAAACCGGAUUAGGCACCCGGGUAGUCCCAGCCGUAAACGAUGUGCGUUAGGUGUAUCGGUGACCACGAGUCACCGAGGUGCCGAAGAGAAAUCGUGAAACGUACCGCCUGGGAAGUACGGUCGCAAGGCUGAAACU
This 530-nucleotide ribosomal RNA is filed under the name uncultured archaeon. RNAcentral describes it as "bacterial SSU rRNA". It matches the Rfam family "Archaeal small subunit ribosomal RNA", at positions 322 to 856 of the family's 1478-position model. The record is from RNAcentral.